Molecule: long non-coding RNA, 426 nt
Organism: Hibiscus syriacus
Lineage: Eukaryota; Viridiplantae; Streptophyta; Magnoliopsida; Malvales; Malvaceae
Exons: 2
Source: RefSeq, a predicted model, not a curated record
UCGAAGCCCUCCUCUACUCUCUCACUUCUUAGUUGAGGCGUCACCUUUCUAGAGAGAUCAUCGACAAAUCGAAACAGAGCCCUAAACCAAGAUGAGAGCCAAGUGGAAGAAAAAGCGCAUGAGGAGACUGAAGCGGAAGCGCCGAAAGAUGAGGCAGAGAUCCAAGUAGUUUUGCCCUGGAAACCCCUUGUCUUCAUUAUUGUCCAGCAUAUGUUGAAUGAAGAUUUAAGGGUAUUAUCAGGCAAGCUUAUCUGUUUUUCUUCUAAAUCUAGGUUUAAGUUUUAAGAUUGAGAUGUUAUAUAGUAUUAUGUUGGUAUUUUGUGGUUUGAUCCAUGUAAACAGUUAUAUUUAGUAUGCUAAACGUUUGAAGUUGAAACUUUUAUUCUCCCAUAUGUGGUCUAAUAUACGAGAUAGAUUGUUGCCAUA